Molecule: transfer RNA, 121 nt
Filed under: Caudoviricetes sp.
Lineage: Duplodnaviria; Heunggongvirae; Uroviricota; Caudoviricetes
Description: tRNA-Glu
Rfam family: tRNA
About the family: Transfer RNA (tRNA) molecules are approximately 80 nucleotides in length. Their secondary structure includes four short double-helical elements and three loops (D, anti-codon, and T loops).
Source: RNAcentral
ACCGCAGUAGCCAAGAGGUAAGGCAAGGGACUUUCAAGGUAUUCAAGUGAAUUUAAUUGGGGCAGUACCAAUUACCUUGACCAGACUCCCUGAUGCGUGUGUUCAACCCACACCUGCGGCG